This 18598-nucleotide long non-coding RNA is filed under the name Manihot esculenta (cassava). RNAcentral's name for it is "long non-coding RNA (MESC_LNC003470)". The record is from RNAcentral. Lineage: Eukaryota; Viridiplantae; Streptophyta; Magnoliopsida; Malpighiales; Euphorbiaceae.
CAGGCAAUGAUGAGACUAUGGUAGGAGAAGGUGACGACUUGGAUGCUACUGCAUCAUCUUCUCCUGUGCCUGAACCGAGUAUAGAUGAUGUAUCAGUGAACAAUUCAUCUAAAGAUGUAAAUGAAACUAGUGCAAAUGAUAAACCACCUGUAUGGGUUGAAUGGAGGGAGACACCAAAUUCCACUUCUUCUGAUUCCAACUUAUCUCUCAGGCCAAAUGGUGAGCUUCGAGUGGAUUCAGAGAUUCAGGGUGGUGAUGGUGGUCCUCAUGCUGCUAAACCUGUAUCUUCCUUGGAUACAUCGGUAGAUGACAGUAAUGCUGCUGGAAGACUGCCAAAUGCAACAAAUGAAAGCCCUACACCCAUUCUUCCUGAAUUAACAGAAGCAGGUAGUGAAAAUCCUAGUGUGGUCCAUGGUGAUUCUGAUGAUAAGACAACUGUAGAAACUGAAGUAACUGCUGUGGCCAGGAAAGAUGGACAAACAGCCAUGGUUAAUUAAGCAGAGAACUAAAUGUAAAUUCUUGAGAGUCUGUUUAUUACCUAACUGAUACACACUGCAGCAGCAACAUUUAUCAGGUGGGAAGAUGACUACUGAGAGCACUGUUGGUUGAUUAGGUGACUGUAUUUUAGAGCCUUCUGUGCAUCAUCGAUGGGCACUGUUGCUUAGCAAGGUUGAUUCUUUUUCUCACCUGCUGAUAUAGCUUGAGCUUGCUCUCUCUCUUCCGAAAGUGGUGAUGAAUAGGGUCUUGUUUUCCGCCUUUCCUAUCUGGUAAUCCAAUGCCUUUAUUAAUUAUUAGUUUCUAGCCUUCUACCUUCUAGCUUCGCCUUAGUAAUUGAUCUACAAACUGGAAUUGUCACCUGAUACUUGGACCCUUUUUUAGCACGAUUUAUAUCCAUAAAAUUUUUUCCUUUUCACAUGAAUGCCAAGGUGUUAAUCAUAGAAUCAUAUCCCAGAAUCCCUUUUAUGUUUCCCUGUUCACUUUUCAUCGUAAUGGAGAAGUUUGCAACAGUUUUACUCUCCAUAUUUAUGGUGGAAGAAUUUUCGGUCGAGGAAUUGUAUGAUUUUACCAUUUAUUUCUUUUUGCAAUGUUUCCCCUCUGAACUUGUUUAUUGCAUUCCAUACUUUUUACCUGCAAAAUUAUGAGAAAGUGCUGCAAAACUCUCAUCAUUUGAAUCAAAAUUUAGCUUUUUUAUGCACGUAUUAAAUGUGUGGUUUAGAAACAAUAGCCUCAACUUGCUUAAACUGCAACUGCAAUUGCAAUUACUCCACACUUAAUAUAUGUGAUCGGCCGAACCGAAGUUGGAUUCGGUUCUCGUCCUACAUGAUUCCAUAGAACUGAAGCAAUAAAAAUAUAGCAAGCCUCUAGUUUUAUACACGAAGGCAAAGCUUUGUAGAAUUAGAUGCUAAAGUUUAUCAUGGCAAUGGAAGUACUCAACAUGAGACAAUGAUAAGAUGAUUCCCAUUCAAUGAAAUAGCGAGAACCAGUGCGGCGUGAUGAUGAAUCAAGCGGUAGAAGUCAAUAUGAUUCUUUCUUUUUCUGUCCGCUCCUUCAAAUAUCUGUAACGCUUACCCUCCAAAAACAUUAUUUGCCUUAAUUACCCACAUUCCUUUCAUUUGGAGAUGUAGAUAUGCGCAACUUCGGCUAUAUCAUGAACACGUUAACUUGAUCUUCAUGGGAAGCCUUUAAUUUUUUUAUUGCUGGUAUUGUUCUCAUCUGGUCCACCAGCUGAAUCUGUCAUUCCGAUGUGACCAGAUGCUAUAUUCUACCUACUACGAGUGUAAAUGAGUUAAUUUUAGUCAAUUUUUGAAGAGAUCAAAUUUGAUUUAAAAUUUUGUUAAAUAAAUAUAUUCACGAGUUAUUUUAAUCCUAUUAAAUAAAUAAAUUUUAGAGUCUAAACAAAUCGAUAUCUAAUUUAGAGAAGUCGAUAUGUACAUGUUUAAAUUUGGAGAAAAUCACAUUUGAGUGAUAAUUUUAUACAAUUUGAUAAAGUAAUGGAAUUAUCCAAUCUAAGAGCUAUCCGUCUUUGAGAGUUUUCAACUAAAAAGUCUCGGUGCUCGUGAUGAUGCUACUAAAAUAAAUUUGCAGAUCAUUAUUUUAUUUGUAUAUAUUAUUAAUUAAUGAAAAUUCACUUAUUCCAAUAAUUUGCGUAAAUACUGGUAAAUUCAUUGAAAAAGUAAAAUAUUAUUUUUAAAAUUUUAAAAGUGCUCUAUAUUAAGUAUUUAAAAUCAAAAUAUCUUAUUAAGAGAAAAGAUUAUUCUAUUUAAUUUCUUAUUUAUACUUAUCCGUCUAUUGUUUUUUUAAAAAAAAAUUAUAUUACUCAACCCUCAAAUGGCUAAGAAGAAGUUGAUAAAGAUGAAUUGUAUUGCACACGGUGAAUCAUCCUAUGGAAAUUUGGUGACUAAACAACUAUACUCCCUAUUAUACACGAAUUGAUUUCUAGCGAGUGAUUAAAUUCCCGUACGGCAUAAGCUGCCUUAAGAAGACUCUUAGAUAUAUUGGAUAUUAGAUUCAUAAUAACUAUAAGCAAACUUGCACAUCGCAUCUUAUGCGAAUCUUAUGUGAAACUAAUUAGCUUCCUGUGUUCAAGAGCUCAAAUACAUUUAUUAUAGGCCAAUAUCUAUGGUUGCAAUGAAAUUUAGCUUUUGACCACUACCUGAGGAAGCUCAGUCAGAGACACUGACUCUAAUAGAGAAGCAAAUUACAAAAAGGGAAAACAAUUUGAUCAUAGGCACAUUAAUAUACUGUUGCAAGCAAGUGGACAACAAUGCUCCAAUUUUAAAGGAUGGCAACUAACCCAUAUUAAUUAUACCCUUUUUCCUCCACCCCCUCCAUUCUUUUUAACCCUUAUAACACCAUUAUAUACAUUAUCUGCCACCCUUAUUCACGUUAAUUAAUUUUUUUUAUCCAUUAUUUAAAGCCUAUUAGCUUCAUUAAAUCAAAUUUAAUAAGAAAGCACGAUUAAUUAAACGUGUAUAUAUUGGAACUAUUUUUUUUUCCACAAAAUAUUUUUAAUUUCCACAAAAUAUAUAUCGUUCACUCUCUCCCUCCCGCGAUUACAUUACAGGUGCUUUUGGUCCCUCUCUUUCUCUCUCUACCCUUCCCCUGUGUCUGUAUCUCCCUAGCAGACCCUUCGAUUUGAUCCAAUCCGAGAAGUCUAUGUGAAUCUUUCCGUAAUUUGGGGAAAUCUAGGGUUUUUGGUUUAGAUUUUUGUUUCCUUUUCUUGUCUUGUGUUGGUGAAUUGUUGAUUGGAGAUUGUUUUUAUGGUUGUUGAGUCGUUAGGGUUUGUGUGGGCUUGCGGAUCUGAGUAAGGUUUCCUGUUAAGUGGGCGUUUUUUUGGGGUAAAUUUCAAAGAUGUUUUGGCGUAUGACAGGGCUCUCCACGGCGUCGCCGGUGAGUGCUUUUUUUUUUUUGGCUCAUUUCUUGAAUCGUUGUUUCUUUCAUUUUUGAAUUCCUAUCACGUAUCUUUGAAUGCAUCUUCGUGUUCAUUUAGCUUUUUUGCUCCCUUAUUAUCGGAAUUUUUUCUUCUUGGUUGCUGGAAAGUGUGGGAAAAUAGAAGCAAAUCGACAUUUUGAAUUCUAGCUGGUUAUAGCGUCUCGGACCCAUCGUAGACUGAAACUUUGAUUCAUCAGUAUAACGUAUAGUGCCAAUUAUAAGAUUUCGAAUUUCCUUUUCUUUGAGGGAGGGAGCGUUGGGUGGGGAAGACAUUUCUAAUGUUCUUAUGGGCGGUUUUUAUAUCUUAAUAAUUGAAUUAUCUUUUUAAGACAAAGUUAUAGUGUUCUUUCACUGGAUUUGUUAAAAUGAAGAAGUGGCUGCUUUGACAGAUCAGCAUGGGCCAUGUUGUCUCCCUCAUCCAUGGUUCCUUGAACACCCAAUGUAAUAAUGGUAGUGAAAAAAAAUGCCAAAUCAACUUGAAAUUCCUUUUUGUCCAAUACACACACAAGCACAUGUUUUGGAAGUUGUUGGAAGAAAACUGUGUUUCUAGAAAUUGUUGACACUGUUAGCAGAAUAGCUGUCAUUAGAACUUUUGCUGAGAGGAUUACCCUGUUUGAACCCCUGGUUGGUUGGAAGAUGCUUCCUUGAAUUAUAUGAGUUUCCAGUUUUGCAAAUUAAUAACGUGAUAGUGUACUUGGGUAAUCAUGACUUUGAAAUUUGAAGGCAUUAUAAUCAGAAUAUUGGGGACUGUACCUUCUUAAAUCUUAAUUUCUUAGCUGUGUGCAUCUGUGGAUUGCAAAAUUAGCACGCUGAAAAGUAAACCUGCAUUAUCUCUCUGAUAACACCAUAUGAGAUAAGAUCUCUAUUGGGAGUCAUUGUCAUUUGUAAUUGAUCUGCUAACCAUAAUAUUCCAUCACUUUGCUGUUUAUACUUGAGUAUCACUUUUGGUUGCCUAUCCAUGUCGAACUUGGAUACAAUUGAUUUCCACCCCUAUCUUUUGAUGCGACAUUUCAUGUGUACCCAUGUUAAAAAGAAUAGACUGCUUAUUAUUUUAUCCACACACAUGGAAGUUAGACAUGUAGGUCUCCGGCAUUUUGAGUGUGCUUAUUAUUAUCUACUUUCAACAUCUUCCUCUGUGCCUUGUGUUGUUUAAUGUAUCUCUUCAGAUUGAUGUAAUAAUCAGCCUUCCUGGUGUCAACUCUAAAAAACUUGUUUAGUUUAAUGUCCUAUUUGUUACCCUGAAAUGCUUGAACCCCCUUCUUGCUUUCAACUGUGUAUUUUGGAUCCCUUAUUUUACUUUACCAUUAUGAAAUGUUGGUUUGGCUUUCGUAAUUUAUUUGAUUAUUCUCUAAUUUUGUGCACUAACCAUUUUAUGUUUGGAUGUGUUGUAUAAAUGCAAAGGUGAGUCUUAAAACUUUUGUUGGAUAAUUUUAUGAAAAUUUCAGGUGGAAACAAUUUUGGAUAAGGAAAACUUUACACUAGAGGAGCUUCUUGAUGAGGAUGAAAUUAUUCAAGAAUGCAAAGCUCUGAAUGGACGUCUUAUCAAUUUGUAAUGCUCUUUUUAUAGCUAAUUGCUCUGUGCUUCUCCUUGCUUUUUCUGUAAUUGUUCUUUUUAAGCAUUUUGUUAACUGAGGAGAUGUUGUAAUUUAUUUAUUGGAAUUAAUUUCAUCAUAUCAAUGGCAAUAUAUUUAAGGAUAUUCUUAUUUUCUUUUAUCCACAUACAACAUUGUUAUGGAGGCUGAUACGUAUUGGUUUCAAUGGUCAUAUUGAAGUAGGGGAAAAACGACUUUUCCCUAUUUUUAAUAGGUUUUGAAUCCCAAUCCUAUUCUAGUUAAUGACACAUUUUAGCUCAUUCCAAUUUAAAAGACCUUCAAGCCUUUUUCUGCAGGAAAAAAAAGAUGAUUAAGACUUAUAGAAUUUGUAUUUUUAGAUUAAGGAUGAUUUAAUAGCUGCAUAAACAAAACUGGAAGGAAUUUUACAUUUUUAUAGAUGAUACUCUUCAAACCCCAUUCUUUUUUAGAUCCUUGUUAGUGAUAAUUGACAAGUCUAUUCUCCUUGAUAUGGGCUUAAUCAAAAGAUUCAUUAGGCAAAUUAUGAUGAUAUUUAUUUGGGCUCAUAUAUUGUCAAAAGCUUUGCAUCUGUUCAGACAGCUUUGUUAUAAUAGGUUUGUCCUUUUUUGGUUUAGCAGAAUCAUGGAAGGAAUUGAAUCUGGAUUACAUGGAAAUAUGUAAUACUUCCUUCAAUAGUUUCCUUUGUUUUUCCCCAUUUCUUUUCAUGAUCCCUGUUUGUAAUAUCGUGUUUACACGGUUUUCUAUGUCCUCCACAAAAGGUUUUUAUAUCAGAUAUGGAACAAUGUAUUUGUCUGCUGAGUUGUUGCAUUGCUCACUUCCUCUGUUCACUACCUUGAUUAAAUAAUUGCAAAUACUUUUAGCAUUUUAAAUUUACCAGAGCCUACAAGGACUUUGGCCAGAAUACUUUUUUUUUUCAGGAUGUAAACUGUGAUGCAAUUAGUUCAGCAUGUAGCAUCUCCUCCAUGGUUUUAAAUAACGGCCGUUACAUAACGUAACGGCCGUUAUGUAACGGGUUUUGGGGGGGCUGUUACCCGUUAUCCCGUUAUAUAACGGCCCCUCCUGAUCCCCUCCUGAUUUGCAGGCGCAACGGCCGUUACGCAAUGGUAACGGCCGUUACCGACCGUUACGCAAUGGUAACAGCCGUUACCGACCGUUACGCAAUGGUAACAGCCGUUACCGACCGUUACGUAACGGUAACGGCCGUUACCAAUAAUUAAAAUUCUUUUAUAUCUUUUAUCUUUUGCUCCCUAUUCUCGUUUUUAUUAGUUUCUACACUUUUCAGCAACUUCAAAGACUAUAUUUUUUAAGUUUUCUCUUCCCUUUCUCUUUCAAAUUUCAAUCUUCCUUGCAUAUUUCUCAUAUAAACUUAGAUCCAUUAUAAACUACUCUAUUUCCAAGCUUAUUUCUUAUAAAAACUUAGUUAAAUUUUAUCUAUUUUAGUUUUUAAUUGUUGUUUUUUUUCCUUUUUUUUUUUGUAAGUUUUUGUGGAUUAAAGUGUUAGUUUUGAGUUAAAAUUGUAUUUUGAGCUAUUAGUUUACUCGAUUUAUAAAGAUUAUGUUGAUUUUUCUUAUUUUAAACUAUAUGAUGUUUAACUUAAGUUAAAUAAUCUAUAUUUUAUAUAUUUAUGUUUAUUAUGCAUUUGUAUACAUUAUUCUAAAUUAAAUCUAAUCAAUAUCAUUUUAUUUAUGAACUUUGCAAAUUUUUUAAAAAAAUUUGCGUAACGCCAGGCCGUUGCCGUUACCGUUACGUUACGGCCGUUAUAGGUCUUUUUCCAUUACCUGCGACCACGACCGCGAACGUAGCCGCGACCGCAAUUUAAAACCAUGAUCUCCUCUCCUUUCUCUUGGAUUUGUUGCUUAGUGCCUAUCCAUAUAGUGCGCAUUGCAAAUAUUUAACCAUUAGUUUUGGAUAGUGAGGUAUACAUAUGAGAGAUGUCUUUAAAAAUACGUUUAAUAUUGUUGUUGUGUAAUCUUUUGGCAUGAUGGUCAACAUAUACGUCUAUUGGCAAGUAUCAGUUUAUUGAUGCAUAGACUGGAAUCCUCAAGUCUUUUGUAUAUCCUCUGAAAUUGAAUCUUUAAUUCCUUACCAAGUCCAGUUCAUUUAGAUUCUCGAAACUUAUUUUUAUGUUGUCUUGCACUGCAGCUUGCGAGAAAGGACUCAAGUUGAACAAUUGAUUCGCUUUAUUGUGGAAGAAGCUCCUGAGGAUGCUGAAAAGAGGCGAUCUUUUAAGUAGGUUUCUAUGGAUAGCCAUGUUAACAUUUUGCAAUUAUUAUAAUAUAUCUGGAUGGUUCUCCCCCUCCUCUUGGAUGAUGGUGUUGUUGGGAUGGAUUAUGGUUGAUAUUGUUGUUUCGUUUUGUCCUUAGGUUUGCUUUCAUUGCAUGUGAGAUAUUUACUUGUGAGGUUGAUAUUCUACUCAAAACACUGGUGGAGGAUGAGGAGGUAUGAAGUGUCCCCCUCAAUACAGCUGCAUGAUCUACGUAAAAAUUUUCACCAGACUUACUUUUUCUUGUUCUGCAUCCAACAGUUAAUGAAUUUGUUAUUUUCCUUUUUGGAACCAAAAUGCUCGCACAGCACACUGUUGGCUGGGUACUUCAGUAAGGUAUGUCCUGAUGAACUUUGGAAGUUACAAAAUCGAUAAAACAAAACAGAGGAAUUUUCAAGCAUUGAUCUGGUUUUUUUUCCCUUUAUUUUGUGAAGAAGUAAUAUAUAUAUAUAUCACUUCAUUGGGAUUUUAUGUUCAAAUAUUUUGUUGCUAGGUUGUCAUAUGUCUAUUGUUGCGGAAGACAGUUUCUUUUAUGCUUUAUAUUAAGGUAAAGUAACCCUUUCUCACAUAAGGAAAAUUCUUACUUAUUAGAUGUAAUGCAUAUUAUUGUCACUUUAAGCAUUUUUCGGACAGAGAAACAACUACAAAAAGAUAAUUCUAAGGUUGUUAAGGAAUUGAAACCAAGUGUUUUAAUUCGAUUUCUCAUACAUUGCUUUCAUUGAUCCUUCUCACUAGUUUUUGAAUUCCUCUAUUUAUAGGUUACUUAAAAUUGCUUUUUUUUUAAAAAUUUUGGAAAUAAGUACGAAUCCACCACUAUACAUUUUACUAUGGGCCAAAUAAAUCAAUUUCAACUUUUUUGGGCCAAAUAGGCCGACAACUUUACAUUAUGGGCCAAAUAGGUCCCACCUCCAUAUUAAAAUACUAAUUUCUAAUAAUAAAAUAUAAUUUUGAUUAUUACUUGAAUAUAAUUGCCUCGUAUUAUCAUGAUUAUAUUUAUAUUUAUGCAUUUUCCUUUUCUAAAUUUUAUUAUUAUGUAUUUAAAAGAAUUGGUGAUUGUAUAUUAAAAUUCUAAAGAACCAUAAUAUUGGGUUAAUUGCUAUCAUAUCCUGCAUUUUGUCAAAACUAAUUACUUAGUCUUAAAAAAAUUUGAAAAUAUCUUUAUAUUUGUAAAAUUAAACCCUUUUUAGUCAUUUUUGUAAAAAGAAUACAUUAGUCCACAUGUUUUGAGGUUUUAUGAGAGGGACUAAAUAGUAUAGAUAGUUAAAAUUAUGUGACUAAGUAGUAUUGGUAGUUAAAAUACAAGAAAUAAUAGCAUAAAUUCAAGGCUAAAAAGUUUUUUUGUUUUUUGAUAGAAAGACUAAAGAGUGUGAUUUACAAACUACAUGGAUGUUCUAAUUAUGUUUUAGAAAAAUUAGGACUAAGCAAUUAAUUUUGUCAUAUACAAGGACUUCAUGGUUGUUUAGCUUAUGUUUUCUAAUAGCUCAAGUGGUACAAAUGCUUCUUUAUUUUAAGGAAAAACUCUUGCAAGAAGAAGCAGGUUGUAAGUUUGAUCUUUUUAUAAUGUCUGCAUGAGGGGAAAGUUGGAGGGAAGGAAAAUAAAUUAAGGAAAAUAAUUGAGAAUUGGCACAUUCUUUGAUUGGGAAGUGAGGAAAAAUAUGUAAGUAGAGAAAAUAAACUUUAUUUUACCUUUAUUAUUUUCUUUUCACUUCUUUUUCUUCCCAAACAGGGGAAAAUAAGGGUAUUUCCUUUUCCCUAUUUUUAUUUUCAACCAGUUCAAACAUGAUGAGAGAAAAUAAAGAGUGGAAAAUAAACUCUAUUGUCUUUUUGUUAUUUUACUCCCUCUCUCAUGAUUUAUCCAAACAAAGGGCUGGUAGUGGUAAUGUGGUAUAAUGCUAUGCUUCAUUUUUUUUUCCCCUUCCAUAAUGCUAUGCAUCUGAAAUUCAGUAAUAAUCAAUAGUUUGACUUCCCACAAAUUGAAAUUGUGGAGAUAAUACAUGAUAAAAUUAUGUGAUAUCAAGAGAAUUUCUUAUAAAAUCAAAUUAUAGUAUGAUAAAGUACGAGACUUGAGAUUUUCACAUAGAGAUGAUUCGAAAUAAUAUACAUUGGAUGAUAUUAAUGGCAUCACAAGAUUGAAGGCCAUGAUUGCAACAAAAUAAUAUAUAUUUGAAAUAAUGUCUUUAUGAUGGUGAGGGUGGUUCUUAAUCGUCAUGUUCAUUUAUACAAUUUUUUGGGGGUAUGAUCUCUUAAAUAUAUUGUAAUCUGUCAGUGUUAAAAGGUUAGAAUUAGUGGCAAUACACUGACAAAUUAGAACUACUAGUUUCUUUCUUCUCCUUUCAUUUGGAUGCUUGGAGGUUUUCCACGGAUGAGAAAUCAGGACCAUUAUGUUAUUUUUUUAGUCACAAUUAUUGCUUUUAUGUCUAAUUAUGCAAAAAAUAAAUUACUUGUGCAAUUAAUAACAAUUAUAAUUGAAAAUUCACUGCAACUGAAAUUGUUGCUUUUGGAAAUUUGCACCGUUCAUCAUAUGCUGUUGAUGAGAUCAAAUGUUCUGAACUUUAGAUGUCUGAUCCUGUAUGUUGAGUUGAAAAUAUUUGUUAAUAAGUCUAACCAAUUGCUUCCUUAUAUUAUUAUAAGGAAUAUUUAUAACUUUGGAUGAACAUGUCUCCAUUUAUGGAAUUAUAAAUUGGUGAUAAUAGAUGGUGGCCUUUGUUUCCAAUCAGCAGCAUUUUGAUUUUAAAAAAUAAUUAAAAAAGUUUAAUAAUGAUUUGAAAUUUGAUUUUUUCUAUUGAUUUUUGUUGGUUUUGAAACCACCCCCACCCCCCUGAGUAGUUUGGUAUGAGCUAAAAGAUCUUGGGGAGUUGAGCUUUUUGUCUCAAAGGGGUGCUGUGCCACUUAGUUUUCACAAUAUAUUAUAUUUUCAAAUGAUCUAUUGAUAAUUCUUAUUUCAUGCCGUUUUUAACUUAAUUUGCAGUUGAGGUAUUACUUCAGCUUUAUAUAUUAUUGAUGUGUUAAUAAUUUGUCUAGUGGCAGUGAAUCAAUUGUUUAACUUUGUUGAUGUUUCUAAACUGAUGUGCUGUCUUUGUGCUGCCUUCCAGGCUCAUCAGCAAAUUCUCCAGCAGCUAGUUGACUUGAUUGGGAUUACAUCUAUCAUGGAGGUUCAUAGUUACUUGUUUUUGCUUUUGAUAUUCCAAAUUAUUCCUUGGAUGUUUUGUUUUGCAGUAAACAUCUGCACUUGUUUCAUACAAUGUGCUCCUUUGCUCUCUUUUCCUUUUUAUGCUUGUAAAUUGCAUUUGUACGUGCACAUGUGUUUAUAAUUUUUGGUUUAAUAACGAUUAAAUCAAAUUGUAUCCUCCUUUGAGGUCAGAAUAGUACAUGGAACUUGUAAUCACCUUCUCACACUCACAGCCAAUACCAGAAAUACACAGGAUUUUGAAGGUUCUUCUUGGGAUAAUGUUACUUGUCCAACCAAAGAAGCAUAUCCAUUAACUGUAUUCCACUAUUGUACAGGUACUAAUACGUCUGAUUGGUGCUGAUGAGCAUAUGUAUAACAACUGUACGGAGGCAAUGCAGUGGAUAGAAGAAACAGAUGUGCUGGAGAUGAUUGUGGACAAGUUCAGCUCUUCUGUAAGUUACUGUAAAUCUCUGAGUGACAUUUGUUGGAUACAGGUUGAUUGGUGUCAAAACAAAUGCUUUUGGAAUUGAUUUUGAAGGAUUCCCAAGAGGUGCACGCAAAUGCAGCUGAAGCUCUCUGUACUAUGACACGAUUUGCUUCUCCUGGUCUUGCUGCCAAAAUCUCCAGCCCAAAGUAGCAUUUGCCUCUUACUCUUGUGUGGCAUAAACCUUUUCUUCCCCUGCUCCUGUCUCUUCUGUGGUCUGAUUGUCGAUAUAUGUCUGUGUGCCUCUCUGCAGUUUCAUUGGAAGAUUGUUUCGUCAUGCUUUGGAAGAAUCACGGCCAAAAUCUGUCCUUGUUAACUCGUUGUCUAUAUGCAUAUCCUUGUUAGACCCUAAAAGGCCAACCUUGGGGACAUAUCAUACAUUUAACCGCCAACUUAAUCAUGAGUCCACAGUAACUGCCAGUCCUGAGACAGUAGAAGGGAUGCUGAAGAGCUUAGGUAAGGUUCUCUUUUGAUGAUCUAAACUGCUGUUCCUCCUGCUUCCUUACUUUUUUGGUGUUUAAGGAAAAAAGAUGAGGCUGCUAACAUCAUGAAAAGAACUAAGUUUGGAAGGAAAUUUUCUUAAUUUCUAUCAUCAAUAUAACUUGGAUACUAUGAAGGCUGCCCGAAAGGCAAGCAAAAUUUACUGCAAAUAUUUGUCGCAAGUUUAUUGAGCUAGAUGAUUCUGGACAAAUAGUGUUAACCUACAAAGCGCAUGCAUACAAGCACUCAAACAAAUGAAAGGAAGAGUGGAUGUGAAUAUUAAUAAUCGGUUUUACUGUUGUUAGAAUCAUUGCCUCUCUGAAACUUUUCUGUAUUCCUCUUUACUUUCCAUAUUGCCUCUCUCUAAUUGACAAUCAUAUUACCGUUGGCUCAACCUGUGAAUUGCGAUAGAGGACUCUAUCUCUUUCAAUCCUCUCACCAUUAUCUCUCGCUUCUAUUCCAAAUGAACUGGAGCGUGUUCUAUUUAUGUGGUUUGGAGUAAUUUGAAUUCUCUACUAAGUACUUAGAAAUAUAUUUGAAUUUUUGGCAAUGGCUUCAAUAAUCACUUUAGUCAUUUUGGAAUAGAGACUCCCAUCUAGCUUGUGGACACUGGACAGUUGAAUUUGUUGAGAGUAAAAAAAGAUGGACUGGGGACUGCUAAACAAAAGGAAACAGAAGGAGAAAGAGAGUCAUCUAAUCAUUUUUUGCUGCAGUAUGUUGUGAACAUUUGUUAUAUUUCUGUUAACAGGAGAUCUUCUGAAGCUUUUGGAUGUUACAUCUACUGAAAUUGCCUUGUUGACUACAUAUGGGAAAUUGCAGCCGCCUCUGGGAAAGCACCGUUUGAAGGUAGUAUUUAUUUAUAUGUUUCUUAAAAGAACACUCUACUUAUCAUAAGCACAGGGUUCUUUAUGUUCUUUCAUUUGCUGUUUUCUAUCUUCACAUUUUAUCAUCUCAAAUGACUUAAACUCUUGACUAGUUGUUCUAUAGGCAAACUCUAUAUUAAGUUCCCCAUUGAUGAUUAACUGAAUCAACUUUUGCUGACCACUCCCUUAUUCAAUCCCGGCCAGAUUGUAGAAUUCAUUUCAGUGUUACUGACAGUUGGAAGUGAAGCUGCUGAGAAGGAAUUGAUUCGUCUUGGAGCAGUCCAAAGGAUUUUAGACUUGUUUUUUGAGUGAGUUUUAGGAUUCCUGAUAUGGUAGCAAGAUUGAUCAGAUCCUGGGUUUUAUUCAUUUGCUUUGUUCAACUGUAGGUACCCGUACAAUAAUUUUUUGCAUCACCACGUAGAGAACAUAAUAUUUUCAUGCUUAGAGAGCAAGAAUGCUAUUCUUAUUGGACAUGUUCUCCGUGAAUGUAAUCUGGUUGUAAAGAUACUUGAGGCAGAGAAGAAUUGUGCAUUGGUGGCUGACCCAGGCAAGGUAAUCUACUAGUCAACUAGAACUGUGUCAUUGUCCUUGUGAUGGUGUAUUGUUUAGUACCUUUGGGGGUUUAACUGCAUUUUGUAUGUUGUAUUAGUACUUAAAUUUAUGUUUGUUCGUUCUUAUACAGCCAACAAUUCCUGCUGAUGGUAGACCAUCACCGAGGAUAGGGAAUAUUGGACACUUGACACGCAUAUCCAACAAACUUGUUCAAUUGGGGAAUAACAACGGUGAUAUUCUGGCAUGCUUGCAGGUUUAUCCUAUUCUUUUGAUGUAAUGAAUUCAUGUGGAAUAACAUUGAUAUAUGGAAUAUGUAAGUCAGCUAAUGAAUUUAAACUGAUUUGCAUUGAUUAGUACAAUAAAAUUGAGUAAUUGCUUUUGUAAUUCAUUUCUUGCACAAGUUAAAUGUACUAUGCAUCAUCAAGGGCAUUAGAAUUUUUUUGGUCUAUUUGGCUCCAUUCACCUCCACUUUUAGUUGUUCCUGUUGUUACAUGAUUUAGAUUACUAAUAGUUUGUCAAAUCUUAUCUUUCCUCCGAUGGGCAUGAACACUUGUUUUCUCUGUAGCUUUAAAGUACGCCAAUUGAGCAUGCAUGCAGAAGAGAUAAAAAUUAUAUUUGCUUGUUCCCACCAUUUAAAGUUGUUUAAUCCUAUUUUCUCUUGGCAGGAAAAUAGUGAAUGGACUGAUUGGCAUGCAAAUGUCUUAACAAAGCGUAAUGCAGUUGAAAAUGUCUAUCAGUGGGCCUGCGGGUGAGUAUUUUAUGCAGAUGAUUUUCUUUUUUAUUCUCAUUUUCAGAAUUGGUUGCAAUUGUAUCUCAAAGAAGAAAAAAUGUCCCAAUAGGGAAAGGAGAGGGGGAUAACGUAUUUUUUAGAAAAGGCUUUUUCUCAUGUGAUUAUCCUCAGCAACCUUGGUAGUUUCCCAAAGGCAGGUUGAUGCCAUUUCAAAUAAUAUGUGUGCUAGUGUGUGUCUGCAUGUGCAAGUUUUUCUUACCGUCCAUUUCUCACCUGUCUUAAGUUGUGGUUGUAUCAAUUGUGGCAGUUCUUUCUUCCUUUGAAUGUGUCUGUAGUCUGUGUGCAGCUUUUGUUGUUUGGUUUUGGGCUUUAGCUUUUCUCUGUGGAUUACUUAUUUUAAGAUGGGAAAAAAAAACAGGAGGCCGACUGCUCUACAAGACCGGAGAGAUAGUGAUGAUGAUGAUUACCAAGAUAGAGAUUAUGACGUUGCAGCCCUAGCUAAUAAUUUAAGCCAGGCAUUUCGAUAUGGCAUGUAUAGCAAUGAUGACAUUGAUGAGGUAUGUUUUAUAGCAUUUGAAGUGCAUUUACAUUUUUUUUUUUCUGUUCUUUACUUUAUAAGCUAAUAAAUUUUGUAACUAGGAACUGUACAAAUGUGGGAGAAGCUGGUUACCCCCUAGAAUCUAGGGAAAACUACUAAUUAUUGAGGUAGUCACAUUCUAAUAUGCUAGUUUUGUAGUUGUACUUGUGGAUCCAUACAGGCUAGGUUGACUGGAAUUGAGCAUUUAUUUUGACCGACCUUUGAAUCCAAUUGAAGCUAAAACAGAUGGCACAUUUCUAUCUGCAUAUUUAGUUGUAUAUGCUAGGAAGUAUAAAUGUGUGUUUAAAAUGAGCCACUUGUUAGAGAGAUUUACAAGGAUGAGUCUUCCAAUAUAACAUAGAAGAAUCCAACUAAUUAACUAAAUAUUCCCUCCAAGUUUGGAGUAGCUGCAGUAAUUUCUUACUUUUGUAACUUGGAAGGGUUAUUUUUUAUAAUUUAUUUAAAAAAUAUUUGCUAUUCUAGCUAUGAUCAAAUUUUCCUAGAAACAAAGGCCAAAUGCCAUAGAACUAUUGGGCAUUGUCCAAUUAGGCCAAAGGUUUUAUCUCAAUAUUUGGUCUAAUAAGGACCUCUUUUACUGUUAUCUUAGUGCAGCUUCUGACAAGCUCACUAGUAUUAAUUGCGGGUGCCAGAAAUUAAAAGCAAAUUGUAAUAGUUAAUUGUCUUCAAGCUGCUAUAAAAGGAAAUUGGUUACCUUAUUCUUGCCUUUGGCAUGUCCUGGCACCUGGGCCACUAAAGAAUGAGGAUUCUAGGAUUGAGGGUGAUAUUUGAUAUUCUUCACUAAUCUCAAUCCAUUCUAAUGGAACUGAAGAAAUGAAAGUGAGAUUGUAGGAGCUAAAAAGAUGACAUUAUAUCGAGCUUUAUGGUCUUGACAAAGCAGCUUAUUAUAAAUGUUAGGGUGAGACUCAGUUUUGAUAAGGUGGGUGCUGAUUUGGCAUUGAACACAAAUUCUUGGCAAGGCAGGGUUUUUUCAAAUGCUGGAAUCAAAGUGGAGUUAAGUUGAAUUGCAUAAACUUGGUAACAAUUAAGUAACCAUAUGACAUAAAAGUGAUUAUGUAGAAAUGUUAGUACCAAGAAAGGAAAUUUUAGAUGUAAGACUUCUAUGCAAUAAGACGAGUAUGAAAAGUAAAGGGUUAACAAGAACCGGUUCAGCUUGAAGAUUAUAUUGGGCAACAAACUUGGAGGCUUUAAUUUGUAGUAACCCAGAGAGAGAAACAAAAGGCCCUAGGAAUUUGCACAAAAUAAAUGAGAUCCAGUUGAUGUUGGAAGUAAUACAUUCUAAAACAUCUGUGCAUAUGGCACAAUUACAAAAAGACACCUUUUGAGAGAGAAAUUAAAGAGGGAAAAAGAUGGGAGGCAACAAGAGCAUAAGCAGCUGUUCACUGAUUUUAUUGGUUCAUUUGAAAGAGGAAGGAAAUAGAUAUUGCUAUCAGAGGGAUGUGUUUCGAACUAAUAUAAUGGUGAGGUAAAAUGUUGAGAUAUGGGGUUUCUGCUAGGGUUGCAAUUUAUGAAGACUUUCGGAACCAUUUUCAUAAUCUAGAAUAUGUGCGAAGGUUGCCCACUAUUCCUUUAUAGUAUGUCCCAAAGUUUCAAAGUUUUUAGAGUGGGUUUUGUAUCCUAUCCUUAUCAAUUGUAACUUUUUAUAUUUUCAAGUAAAGCAACUCUAAAGAAAGAGAAUGAUGACAACCUUUCUAGGAAACAUCGAGGGGCAUGAAUGGAAGAAUGAAAGGAGAACUGUGUGUUUGCGUAGUAUUAUGUUUUCUUAAGCUUUGAGAAAAUGAAGGUGACAACCUUGCUUGGACAGAUUUACUUCCUCAAUCUUUCUCUAGCUGUACUGUGUAUAUGUCAAAAUUUGGGGCAGAAACAACUGCAGAAUAGAAGUUUGUGGACCUAAUUGGACCUGGACAUAUGCUUCCAAGGCCAAAUAUCUUUGUGUUAGUUGCUCCUGUUUUAAAUUGGUUUUGGGAACAAUUUUUAAAAUUUAUCUUUUACAAGUUAUACUAUGUUAAAACUAUAGCUUUCCUGUGUUGAAAAGUAUACUCGGCAUUCAUGUUUGAUCAUCUCCUGCCCAUCAUAUUGAAGAUACACAAACACGUCUAGAUUUUUGUUACUAGUUGUAAAUGACAAACUCAUAGAGAUAUGAAUACAGAGCUUGUCCUGUUCAGUAAGCACCGUUAAGAUUUGAGCUUUCUAUUUGCAAAUGGUGCAGGCAUGCAUAAGUUGUUGUUGCCCUUAUUGCUUUGCUUUCUUAUUCAUUCACUGCAGGUGCAUGGAUCACUUGAACGAGAUGAUGAGGUAAUGUACUUUCUAGAGAAUCAAUUGCAUGAAUUGGAGACUUAUCACGAUCACACACGGCUGAAGGGAUUAGUUCACCCUUUGGACAGGGCGUUUUUUUGUCUUGAAGUAACUGUGGUUUAGUUCAAAGGCUAAUGAAAAAAAGUGAUGCAUUUUUAUGUUUUUCUUCAUUUGUUUCUAUACUUUAAUUUGUCGGUUUACCUCGAUUUUCAAAUUUACCUUCAAUUUUAUCUAGUUGACCCAAAUUGGUUAAAAUUGAAAUAAGAGAGUAUAUUUUAGUAUUGUUAGGUUGAGGUAAUGUAGUUAUGGUUAUGGAGCGGUGCUGGCAGGUGGAGAGGUGGUGAUGCUGAGGUUGAGGUGAUACAGUCGUGGCUGGUUGAGUGUAAGGGACAGAGCUCAUCUUUGACAUACAAUCACGUAGGCAAAGAAAAAGAAAUUGAAGAAUGCUGAGUGAGAAUAAUAAUAGUAGUAAGAUUAAUGAGCAGUGCACUCUAGUUUGGGAGGAGAGGGGCGUGCAUGGGUGCAGCGAAAGAGAGGAGAGGUGGAGAAGGGAGAGAGGGAAGGUAAAUUUCCAUAGAGAGAGGAGAAGAUUUCAGAUUCUUUUUUUCUAAAUCAAAUUAAUAGUCAUAUAAACCAUUCGUUUUAGGUUAGUCCAAAAUAAAGUAAAAAAAAAAAUAAAUCAAAUUAAUGAUCCCAUUUGUUUUAGGUUUGACCACUUCUGGUCCAACAUACCAUUGAAGCUAAGUUUUGAAACCAGGUUAAACAUAACAAAAUUGAAGUUUGGAUAGAAUUGAAACACUGUGCUCUCUCUCUCUCCCCCCCUGUGGCGCUACCUAUAUUAUUUUUAUUUAUGCCUCAAUUGAUCAUCCAUAGCAUCAUUUAUUGGCACCAUAUCCAACUUCAUCGUUGGGGCUAACCACGAACAUGUGUUUAUUAUUCUUAAAAAUUAAAGAGAAGAAAUAUUUUUAAGAAAAUUUGAUGCUCAUGUCUCAACUAGACUUGAUUUCAUUGUGGCAGCCUUACUUGCCCUUUUCCACAUCUUUUACCUUUGCAUUUGAGCAUGUGCUGUUGCAGGCAAUAAUUAACAUGUCUAAGGUUUCUCUGUGAUAUAUUUGGCAGGAUGUCUAUUUUGAUGAUGAAUCUGCUGAAGUAGUUAUUUCUUCUCUGCGUUUGGGAGAUGACCAGGAGAGGCAAGCCCUUAUUCUUCCUUUAUGAUGUUCUAUUGGAAUUUGAAUUUUUGGUAGGGGAGCUUCUAUGUUUAUUCUGGCUCAGUGUUGAUUUUUGUUUGUCAUUAUCUGUUGUUUGUUUCUCGCAUAUUCCCCUGCCUUUAUGUAUAGACCAACUUAUUGAUGCAGAUAUCUCCCAUCUAUAGGCCUAAGGUAAGGAGAUUUUUGUAGCGGUCAUGGUUUUUAACAAAAAAGUACUUGACCAGCCAAUGAAUAAAUUAGCUUCUUUGAUCAAUGUAAGAGUCUUCAUUCUAUCUCUUAUUUUUUGGCAGAGAAGUAUGAAGCGAAAUUAAGUUUUGGAUAGUGAUGUACAUUAAGUUUGCCGUUUUGAAGAAUUUGUUAAACUGAAUUAUUACUUCCUGAGUGUGUUUGCCAUUUGCUUGUUCCUAAUGUGAUACUCGUAGGAUGAGAAGAAUCUUUGGAAUUUAUGAUUUGUGGUUUAAAGAAUUGUGAUGAUGGCAGUUUGAAUCACUGAUUUACAUGAUACUUAUUGCUUGAUCCAUCUGUGGUGCUUGCAGUGGCUCCCUUUUUACCAAUUCCAACUGGUUUGCUUUUGAGGAUGACAGAAUUGCCAAUGAACGCUCUGCAGGAGCACUUGCUUCUUCUUCGCCUAAUAAUGGAGAAACUGGUGGUGUUAAUGGCGCAGGCAAUGAUGAGACUAUGGUAGGAGAAGGUGACGACUUGGAUGACACUGCAUCAUCUUCUCCUUUGCCUGAUCCGAGUAUAGAUGAUAUGUCAGUGAACAAUUCAUCUAAAGAUGUAGAAGAAACCAUUGCAAAUGAUAAACCACCUGUAUGGGUUGAAUGGAGGGAGACACCAGAUUCCAAUCCUUCCAAUUCCAAAGUAUCUCUCAUGCCAAAUGGUGAGCUUCAAUUGGAUUCAGAGAUUCAGGGUGGCGGUGGUCCUCAUGCUGCUAAGCCUGUAUCUUCCUUAGAUGC